This 71-nucleotide transfer RNA is filed under the name Niastella vici. It matches the Rfam family "tRNA". Rfam says of the family: Transfer RNA (tRNA) molecules are approximately 80 nucleotides in length. The record is from Rfam by way of RNAcentral. Lineage: Bacteria; Pseudomonadati; Bacteroidota; Chitinophagia; Chitinophagales; Chitinophagaceae.
GUGGCUGUAGCUUAUUGGUAAAGUGCCCCGCUGUGAACGGGGAGAACAGGGUUCGAGCCCCGCAGCGCACC